RNAcentral lists this transfer RNA (71 nucleotides) under Loxodonta africana (African savanna elephant). It matches the Rfam family "tRNA". Rfam says of the family: Transfer RNA (tRNA) molecules are approximately 80 nucleotides in length. Lineage: Eukaryota; Metazoa; Chordata; Mammalia; Proboscidea; Elephantidae. The record is from Rfam by way of RNAcentral.
GAGUUGGUGGUUCAGUGGUAGAAUUCUCACCUUCCGUGUGGGAGACCUGGGUUCGAUUCCCAGCCAGGGCA